Molecule: ribosomal RNA, 150 nt
Filed under: uncultured eukaryote
Lineage: Eukaryota
Description: partial 18S ribosomal RNA
Rfam family: Eukaryotic small subunit ribosomal RNA
Source: RNAcentral
UGGUGGAGUGAUUUGUCUGGUUAAUUCCGUUAACGAACGAGACCUCAGCCUGCUUGUGUAGUGGGGCGUACGCCUCCGGGCGUACGUACAUGGCUCACUUCUUAGAGGGACUAUCGAUGUUGCAGUCGAUGGAAGUUUGAGGCAAUAACA